CAGUAGCCGCGGUAAUACGGAGGAUCCGAGCGUUAUCCGGAUUUAUUGGGUUUAAAGGGUGCGUAGGUGGCCUGUUAAGUCAGGGGUGAAAGACGGUAGCUCAACUAUCGCAGUGCCCUUGAUACUGAUGGGCUUGAAUGAACUAGAGGCAGGCGGAAUGUGACAAGUAGCGGUGAAAUGCAUAGAUAUGUCACAGAACACCAAUUGCGUAGGCAGCUUACUAUGGUUUUAUUGACACUGAGGCACGAAAUCGUGGGGAUCAAACAGGAUUAGAUACCCCCGUAGUCCCUGUCUCUUAUAC
This 301-nucleotide ribosomal RNA is filed under the name uncultured bacterium. RNAcentral's name for it is "partial 16S ribosomal RNA". It matches the Rfam family "Bacterial small subunit ribosomal RNA", at positions 509 to 807 of the family's 1533-position model. The record is from RNAcentral.